Molecule: long non-coding RNA, 920 nt
Organism: Xenia sp. Carnegie-2017
Lineage: Eukaryota; Metazoa; Cnidaria; Anthozoa; Malacalcyonacea; Xeniidae
Exons: 2
Source: RefSeq, a predicted model, not a curated record
ACAAAGAAAAAUAUAAUCUAUCAAAUCCAAACGCUGGCAAGAAUCCAUGUAUUCUUAGCAUAAACAUUGCACGUGCAAACUAAUUAUUUUGUUUUGCAUAGCAACCGCAAGGCUUCACUGGACACGAACAGUUAUAUACAAAACAGUUGCAUUGCAGGAGACCAGAGAAACAAUUCAUCCUCGUAACAAGGAAGACCAAAAUAGAUCUUCAAGAGUAAAAGUCUCAGUAUGAAAAAACCGUAGCGGCAACGAGGGAUAUCAAGACCAUUAAAAAAUGCAUUUUGUAUUUUAAUGAUAUCACACAGAUGGUUGGAAAAGGCCAAAAUACCAAAUUAUUCAAAAUCAAACCGACUAUGCAAAAAAAUUCGUGAAAAUCAGAGAGUUCAUGUUUGGCUAGCCAUUGAAAUGUAAGACCAGGAUUUGUGACCUUGUGAGGAACUUUUUUAAAAAAAGUGACGUCAAUAUUACACAUUAGUAUAAAUUUUCUUUAAAAUUUAACGAUAUAUAUAUGGCAACAAAGCCAUUCUUGGUCAUGCAAAUGAAUAUUUUCAGUUUGUCAUAUGAAACAGUCGAAUGAUUUGACUGCUAAACACAAAGAUUAGAAGGUUGAAAAAUAAUCUGCAUACUCGAGGAUGGUUUUAAUUGUUCGCCACAAAAUCUUCUCCCUUUUUUAUGUUUUUCUGAAGCUCUGGCAUCAACUAAACAAAAUAAAGAUAUGUUGAUAUAUUGUGCUGACAUCUAACAUCAAACACAAAAAAUUUAAAGCUCCGUUUCCGCUGAACGGAGCGUGAGGAAGGAUGACAAAACGAAUUAUGUGCCAUAUUUACUCGUUAAAACACGCCUACAAAUUAGAACCACACUAAUUACAAACAGAAUUGUUGAAGAGGCCAAUAUAAAAUAAACAUAAAACUUCAAAUCAA